AAGCAUGUAGCUCAGUGGAUAGAGCGUCAGACUCCGAUUCUGAAAGACAGGGGUUCAAGUCCCUUCAUGCUUA
RNAcentral lists this transfer RNA (73 nucleotides) under Biddulphia biddulphiana. Its description in RNAcentral is "tRNA-Arg". It matches the Rfam family "tRNA". From Rfam's summary of the family: Transfer RNA (tRNA) molecules are approximately 80 nucleotides in length. Their secondary structure includes four short double-helical elements and three loops (D, anti-codon, and T loops). The record is from RNAcentral. Lineage: Eukaryota; Bacillariophyta; Biddulphiophyceae; Biddulphiales; Biddulphiaceae.